GACGAACGCUGGCGGCGUGCUUAACACAUGCAAGUCGAACGGAAAGGCCCUGCUUUUGUGGGGUGCUCGAGUGGCGAACGGGUGAGUAACACGUGAGUAACCUGCCCUUGACUUUGGGAUAACUUCAGGAAACUGGGGCUAAUACCGGAUAGGAGCUCCUGCUGCAUGGUGGGGGUUGGAAAGUUUCGGCGGUUUGGGAUGGACUCGCGGCUUAUCAGCUUGUUGGUGGGGUAGUGGCUUACAAAGGCUUGGACGGGGAGCCGGCCUGGGAGGGUGACCGGCCACAGUGGGACUGAGAUACGGCCCAGACUCCUACGGGAGCAAGCGGUGGGGAAUAUUGCACAAUGGGCGGAGGGCGGAUGGAGCAACGUCGCGUGCGGGAUGACGGCUGUCGGGUUGUAAACCGCUUGCGCCUGGGACGAAGCGUGAGUGACGGUAAUGGGUAAAGAAGCACCGGCUAACUACGUG
This 468-nucleotide ribosomal RNA is filed under the name uncultured bacterium. RNAcentral describes it as "partial 16S ribosomal RNA". It matches the Rfam family "Bacterial small subunit ribosomal RNA", at positions 28 to 507 of the family's 1533-position model. The record is from RNAcentral.